UUGAACGCUGGCGGCAGGCCUAACACAUGCAAGUCGCGCGGAUGAAGGGAGCUUGCUCCUGGAUUCAGCGGCGGACGGGUGAGUAAUGCCUAGGAAUCUGCCUGGUAGUGGGGGAUAACGUCCGGAAACGGGCGCUAAUACCGCAUACGUCCUGAGGGAGAAAGUGGGGGAUCUUCGGACCUCACGCUAUCAGAUGAGCCUAGGUCGGAUUAGCUAGUUGGUGGGGUAAAGGCCUACCAAGGCGACGAUCCGUAACUGGUCUGAGAGGAUGAUCAGUCACACUGGAACUGAGACACGGUCCAGACUCCUACGGGAGGCAGCAGUGGGGAAUAUUGGACAAUGGGCGAAAGCCUGAUCCAGCCAUGCCGCGUGUGUGAAGAAGGUCUUCGGAUUGUAAAGCACUUUAAGUUGGGAGGAAGGGCAGUAAGUUAAUACCUUGCUGUUUCGACGUUACCAACAGAAUAAGCACCGGCUAACUUCGUG
RNAcentral lists this ribosomal RNA (483 nucleotides) under uncultured bacterium. Its description in RNAcentral is "partial 16S ribosomal RNA". It matches the Rfam family "Bacterial small subunit ribosomal RNA", at positions 30 to 507 of the family's 1533-position model. The record is from RNAcentral.